This is a long non-coding RNA of Apis florea (little honeybee), 324 nucleotides long. The record is from RefSeq and is a predicted model, not a curated record. Lineage: Eukaryota; Metazoa; Arthropoda; Insecta; Hymenoptera; Apidae.
AAAUGAAUAAUACUUUAAAAACAUUCCAAAGAAGUAUUAAAAAAAGAACAGAAAAUGCAUCACUAAUAAUAAUGAAUUAUGUCUGAAAAAAGAAGAAUAAGGACAACAAAAUUUUUUUUUCAAAGCAUCGCAAUAUCAGUCCAAUAAAUUAUAGCUAAGAAAUGGUUUCGAAAGUUUGGAAAAGAAAAUUUUGAUCUAAAAGAUCAAAUAUCUCAUAUUGGAUGUUUUGCCACUACAGAUUCUGAUAAAAUCAAGGCUUUAAUCAAUGAUAAUUAAUAACACAAUAGAUUGAUCAAGCAUUAAAUAUCCAUCAUAAUUGUUUCG